RNAcentral lists this ribosomal RNA (405 nucleotides) under uncultured bacterium. RNAcentral describes it as "bacterial SSU rRNA". It matches the Rfam family "Bacterial small subunit ribosomal RNA", at positions 975 to 1375 of the family's 1533-position model. The record is from RNAcentral.
CUGGGCUAGAAUGCCUCUGACAACCCUAGAGAUAGGGCUUCCUAGGGAAACCUAGGCAGAGUGCAAGGUGCUGCAUGGCUGUCGUCAGCUCGUGUCGUGAGAUGUUGGGUUAAGUCCCGCAACGAGCGCAACCCUUAUCGUUAGUUGCCAGCGCGUAAUGGCGGGAACUCUAACGAGACUGCCUGGGUUAACCAGGAGGAAGGUGAGGAUGACGUCAAGUCCGCAUGGCCUUUAUGUCCAGGGCUACACACGUGCUACAAUGGCAAGUACAAAGCGCUGCAAACUCGCGAGAGGGAGCCAAUCGCAAAAAGCUUGUCUCAGUUCGGAUUGGAGUCUGCAACUCGACUCCAUGAAGCUGGAACCGCUAGUAAUCGCAGAUCAGCACGCUGCGGUGAAUACGUUCCC